UACGUAGGGAGCGAGCGUUGUUCGGAAUUACUGGGUGUAAAGGGUGCGUAGGCGGCCUUGCAAGUCAGGCGUGAAAACCAUGGGCUCAACCCGUGGACUGCGUUUGAAACUGUGAGGCUUGAGUGAAGUAGAGGUAGGCGGAAUUCCCGGUGUAGCGGUGAAAUGCGUAGAGAUCGGGAGGAACACCAGUGGCGAAGGCGGCCUACUGGGCUUUAACUGACGCUGAGGCACGAAAGCAUGGGUAGCAAACAGG
This 253-nucleotide ribosomal RNA is filed under the name uncultured bacterium. Its description in RNAcentral is "partial 16S ribosomal RNA". It matches the Rfam family "Bacterial small subunit ribosomal RNA", at positions 524 to 776 of the family's 1533-position model. The record is from RNAcentral.